GUUUGUUAAGUAUUCUAGUUAAGAGUGUUGUGAUUGUUUUCCAUAGAGGAGUGAGUUUGGGGCAUGUCCACCAGCAGUGGAGGAAAGUGCCGGUUUCGCCACACAUUUUCCAGCAGAGGUUAUUGGGUAUUUGGUUCAUUGCCUUUAGGCGGAGGGGGGUUAGGUACCACCUGAAGAGCAUUUUAUAAGCUUGCUCUUUAUGGGUGACGCAGAUUGAGAUGGAGUUGAU
This is a non-coding RNA of Pelobates cultripes (western spadefoot toad), 229 nucleotides long. The record is from the annotation of a GenBank genome assembly. NCBI's taxonomy places the organism in Eukaryota, Metazoa, Chordata, Amphibia, Anura, Pelobatidae.